Molecule: ribosomal RNA, 465 nt
Filed under: uncultured Klebsiella sp.
Lineage: Bacteria; Pseudomonadati; Pseudomonadota; Gammaproteobacteria; Enterobacterales; Enterobacteriaceae
Description: bacterial SSU rRNA
Rfam family: Bacterial small subunit ribosomal RNA
Source: RNAcentral
CCUACGGGGGGCUGCAGUGGGGAAUAUUGCACAAUGGGUGCAAGCCUGAUGCAGCCAUGCCGCGUGUGUGAAGAAGGCCUUCGGGUUGUAAAGCACUUUCAGCGGGGAGGAAGGCGUUAAGGUUAAUAACCUUGUCGAUUGACGUUACCCGCAGAAGAAGCACCGGCUAACUCCGUGCCAGCAGCCGCGGUAAUACGGAGGGUGCAAGCGUUAAUCGGAAUUACUGGGCGUAAAGCGCACGCAGGCGGUCUGUCAAGUCGGAUGUGAAAUCCCCGGGCUCAACCGGGGAACUGCAUUCGAAGCUGGCAGGCUAGAGGCUUGUAGAGGGGGGUAGAAUCCCAGGUGUAGCGGUGAACUGCGUAGAGAUCUGGAGGAAUACCGGUGGCGGAGGCGGCCCCCUGGACAAAGACUGACGCUCAGGUGCGAACGCGUGGGGAGCAAACAGGAUUAGAUACCCCUGUAGUC